GACGAACGCUGGCGGCGUGCCUAAUACAUGCAAGUCGAACGCACAGUUUAUACCGUAGCUUGCUACACCAUAGACUGUGAGUUGCGAACGGGUGAGUAACGCGUAGGUAACCUGCCUGGUAGCGGGGGAUAACUAUUGGAAACGAUAGCUAAUACCGCAUAAUAUUGAUUAUUGCAUGAUAAUUGAUUGAAAGAUGCUAUUGCAUCACUACCAGAUGGACCUGCGUUGUAUUAGCUAGUAGGUGAGGUAACGGCUCACCUAGGCGACGAUACAUAGCCGAGCUGGGAGGGUGGUCGGCCACACUGGGAAUGAGACACGGCCCAGAAGCCUAAGGGAAGGAGCAGGAGGGAAUCUUCGGAAAUGGACGAAAGUCUGACCGAGCAACGCCGCGGGAGUGAAGAAGGGUUUCGGAUCGUAAAGCUCUGUUGUAAGAGAAGAACGGGUGUGAGAGUGGAAAGUUCACACUGUGACGGUAUCUUACCAGAAAGGGACGGCUAACUACGUG
RNAcentral lists this ribosomal RNA (505 nucleotides) under uncultured bacterium. RNAcentral's name for it is "partial 16S ribosomal RNA". It matches the Rfam family "Bacterial small subunit ribosomal RNA", at positions 28 to 507 of the family's 1533-position model. The record is from RNAcentral.